UCUCUCCUCUCCUCCAACGGCUCAGCCGGCCGCCGCCCUCCUCUCUCGGUCUCUCCUCUCCUCCAACGGCUCAGCCGGCGCCACCGCCCUCCUCCCUCCUAUCCUCCAACAUCUCCGGCGCGUCUCUCCUCAGCCGCGGAGGCAAAGCCGGCCGCCGGCCGUGGAGGCACAGCCAGCGCGUCUCUCCUAUAUCCUCUCCUCAGCCGUGGAGGCACAACAGACCCCGGGCCGUGGAGGCACAGCAGACCUGCGCCACCGCUGGCCGCCUACCCCACAGCAGAUCUGCACCCAAGACCAGCAGCCAGCCAGCCAUCCUCUGCGGCUCCACUCUGCCAGCGCCCAAGACCAGCACUAGCAGCCAGCCAUCCUCCACCUCCACUGCUCUCCAUUUGAUCAUUUGGUGAGUACUGAUUUUGCUCACAGUGAAUCAAUCAAUCUCUAUUUGCUCAACCAUAUUGGUGAGUACUGAACUACUGAUUGUGCAACCAUAUUGCUCACAGUGAAUUUCAAUUUGGUUUGUGAACUCAAGUACUCAACUUAUGUAUGAACUUAUUUUAUAUUUGAACUUCUAUGUCAAGUCUGAAAAGACGUUUCAACGUUCGUUUAAACGUUUAAAUGUUAAAAAGUUGGUUCAUAACGUUUUAACGUUUUACCGCUUUAAUAACCAUGCUAAUUUCCACUCCAGCACAUAAGGAUUAAGAUAGAUACGUGUAGCCAAACAAGUCCAGUAUUCCCUCUCUUUUAAGACAUUUUUUAGAAAUUGCAAGCUGUAUUGCUUGGCAAGUUUCUGUUUGGGUAUAGGCAACUGUAACCAAUUAAUCAUGCAGAGCAAUUAACCAUGCAGAAGUAAACUAGAACCCAAUAUAAACAGAAAUUAGAGGCAAUAGUAAUAUGAUAUGUACCCAACAGUGGAGCUAUUCAUCUUC
Molecule: unclassified non-coding RNA, 926 nt
Filed under: Zea mays
Lineage: Eukaryota; Viridiplantae; Streptophyta; Magnoliopsida; Poales; Poaceae
Description: misc RNA Zm00001eb061970
Source: RNAcentral